UACGGAGGGGGCAAGCGUUGUUCGGAGUUACUGGGCGUAAAGCGCGCGUAGGCGGUGCGGUAAGUCAGGGGUUAAAGGCUGCAGCUCAACUGCAGUAAGGCCUUUGAUACUAUCGUGCUAGAGUGUCAGAGAGGAUGGCGGAAUUCCCGGUGUAGCGGUGAAAUGCGUAGAUAUAGGGAGGAACACCGGUUGCGAAGGCGGCUACCUGGCCGGUAACUGACGCUGAGGCUCGAAAGCGUGGGUAGCAAACAGG
RNAcentral lists this ribosomal RNA (253 nucleotides) under uncultured microorganism. RNAcentral's name for it is "partial 16S ribosomal RNA". It matches the Rfam family "Bacterial small subunit ribosomal RNA", at positions 524 to 776 of the family's 1533-position model. The record is from RNAcentral.